RNAcentral lists this ribosomal RNA (500 nucleotides) under uncultured bacterium. RNAcentral describes it as "partial 16S ribosomal RNA". It matches the Rfam family "Bacterial small subunit ribosomal RNA", at positions 30 to 523 of the family's 1533-position model. The record is from RNAcentral.
AUUGAACGCUGGCGGAUGCCUUACACAUGCAAGUCGAACGGCAGCACGGGUGCUUGCACCUGGUGGCGAGUGGCGAACGGGUGAGUAAUACAUCGGAACGUACCUUAUCGUGGGGGAUAACGCAGCGAAAGUUGCGCUAAUACCGCAUAAGCCCUGAGGGGGAAAGCGGGGGACCGUAAGGCCUCGCGCGAUUAGAGCGGCCGAUGCCUGAUUAGCUUGUUGGUGAGGUAAAAGCUCACCAAGGCGAUGAUCAGUAGCUGGUCUGAGAGGACGAUCAGCCACACUGGGACUGAGACACGGCCCAGACUCCUACGGGAGGCAGCAGUGGGGAAUUUUGGACAAUGGGGGCAACCCUGAUCCAGCAAUGCCGCGUGAGUGAAGAAGGCCUUCGGGUUGUAAAGCUCUUUUGUCAGGGAAGAAACAGCAGCUCUAACACAGUCUGCGAAUGACGGUACCUGAAGAAUAAGCACCGGCUAACUACGUGCCAGCCGCCGCCGUAA